This 393-nucleotide ribosomal RNA is filed under the name uncultured bacterium. RNAcentral describes it as "partial 16S ribosomal RNA". It matches the Rfam family "Bacterial small subunit ribosomal RNA", at positions 523 to 918 of the family's 1533-position model. The record is from RNAcentral.
AUACGGAGGAUGCGAGCGUUAUCCGGAUUCAUUGGGUUUAAAGGGUGCGUAGGCGGCGUGCCAAGUCAGGGGUGAAAUGCCGUCGCUCAACGACGGAGCUGCCCUUGAUACUGGCGUGCUGGAGUACGGAUGCCGUUGGAGGAAUGAGUGGUGUAGCGGUGAAAUGCUUAGAUAUCACUCAGAACACCGAUUGCGAGGGCAUCUGACGAAUCCGUCACUGACGCUGAAGCACGAAAGCGUGGGGAUAGAACAGGAUUAGAUACCCUGGUAUUCCACGCCGUAAACGAUGAUGACUAACCGUCGGCGAUAGACAGCCGGUGGCCAAGCGAAAGCGAUAAGUCAUCCACCUGGGGAGUACGUCGGCAACGAUGAAACUCAAAUGAAUUGGCGGGG